Molecule: ribosomal RNA, 498 nt
Filed under: uncultured bacterium
Lineage: Bacteria
Description: bacterial SSU rRNA
Rfam family: Bacterial small subunit ribosomal RNA
Source: RNAcentral
CAGGAUGAACGCUAGCGACAGGCCUAACACAUGCAAGUCAGGGGCAGCACAAGGAGCAAUCUGAGGUGGCGACCGGCGCACGGGUGAGUAACACGUAUGCAACCUGCCUGUAAGCGGGGAAUAACCCGUUGAAAGACGGACUAAUACCGCAUAAUACUAAAUUACUGCAUGGUAAUUUAUUUAAACAUUUAUGGCUUACAGAUGGGCAUGCGCAUGAUUAGCUAGUUGGAGAGGUAACGGCUCCCCAAGGCAACGAUCAUUAGGGGUUCUGAGAGGAAGGUCCCCCACACUGGUACUGAGACACGGACCAGACUCCUACGGGAGGCAGCAGUGAGGAAUAUUGGUCAAUGGACGAGAGUCUGAACCAGCCAAGUCGCGUGCAGGAAGAAUGUCCCUAUGGAUUGUAAACUGCUUUUGCAGGGGAAUAAAGUGCAUCACGUGUGAUGUUUUGUAUGUACUCUGCGAAUAAGGAUCGGCUAACUCCGUGCCAGCCGCGGC